Non-coding RNA from Terrapene triunguis (Three-toed box turtle), 502 nucleotides. NCBI's taxonomy places the organism in Eukaryota, Metazoa, Chordata, Testudines, Emydidae. The record is from the annotation of a RefSeq genome assembly.
CAUAUCAAGAUGAUCUCACAGGCUCAGCUCAUCUGGCUGUUAGUGCUCUGGAUUCAGGGCUCCAGUGGGCAGACUGUGAUGACUCAGACUCCAGAAUCCCUGGCAGUGUCUCCUGGAGACACAGCCACUAUCCGCUGCAAAGCCAGUUCCAGCGUCACCAUUGGUAGUAUUCACUUACUAGGCUGGUACCAACAGAAAUCAGGGCAAGCACCGAAGCUCCUUAUCUAUGGUGCUUCCACGCGUGCCACUGGGAUCCCAGACCGGUUCACAGGCAGUGGGUCUGGAACCGAUUUCACUCUCACAAUCAGCAACGUUCAAGCUGAAGAUGCUGGAGAUUAUUAUUGUCAGCAAUACCGUAGCUCACCUCUCACAUGCUAUGCUCCGACAAAUGACAGUGAUGAAGAAGUAAAGGACAAAUUCUACCUUACAUUACAGGCGGAGUUAGAGAAAGUACGACGACAAGACGUAACUACCAUCAUGGGAGACCUGAAUGCCAAGUUCG